CCUACGGGAGGCAGCAGUGAGGAAUAUUGGUCAAUGGCCGGAAGGCUGAACCAGCCAUGCCGCGUGAAGGUCAGUGCCCUAUGGGUUGUAAACUUCUUUUAUAAAGGAAUAAAACGAGGCACGUGUGCCUUUUUGCAUGUACUUUAUGAAUAAGGAUCGGCUAACUCCGUGCCAGCAGCCGCGGUAAUACGGAGGAUCCGAGCGUUAUCCGGAUUUAUUGGGUUUAAAGGGAGCGUAGAUGGGUUGUUAAGUCAGUUGUGAAAGUUUGCGGCUCAACCGUAAAAUUGCAAUUGAUACUGUCAGUCUUGAGUACAGUUGAGGUAGGCGGAAUUCGUGGUGUAGCGGUGAAAUGCUUAGAUAUCACGAAGAACCCCGAUUGCGAAGGCAGCUUACUAAACUGUGACUGACAUUGAUGCUCGAAAGUGUGGGUAUCAAACAGGAUUAGAUACCCGAGUAGUC
Molecule: ribosomal RNA, 459 nt
Filed under: uncultured bacterium
Lineage: Bacteria
Description: partial 16S ribosomal RNA
Rfam family: Bacterial small subunit ribosomal RNA
Source: RNAcentral